This 461-nucleotide ribosomal RNA is filed under the name uncultured bacterium. Its description in RNAcentral is "partial 16S ribosomal RNA". It matches the Rfam family "Bacterial small subunit ribosomal RNA", at positions 338 to 795 of the family's 1533-position model. The record is from RNAcentral.
GCUACGGGAGGCUGCAGUGAGGAAUAUUGGUCAAUGGGCGAGAGCCUGAACCAGCCAAGUCGCGUGAAGGAUGACGGCCCUACGGGUUGUAAACUUCUUUUGUCAGGGAGCAAUUGAGUCCACGUGUGGUCUUAGCGAGAGUACCUGAAGAAAAAGCAUCGGCUAACUCCGUGCCAGCAGCCGCGGUAAUACGGAGGAUGCGAGCGUUAUCCGGAAGGACUGGGCGUAAAGGGUGCGUAGGCGGUUUAUUACGGUGGCGGUGUAAUGCCGGGGCUCAACCUCGGCGCUACCGCCAAAACUAUUAGACUAGAGUGCAGGAGGGGUAAGUGGAAUUCCUGGUGUAGCGGUGGCAUGCGUAGAUAUUAGGAGGAACAUCAGGGGCGAAGGCGACUUACUGGACUGUAACUGACACUGAGGCACGAAAGCGUGGGGAGCAAACAGGAUUAGAUACCCCGGUAGUC